UUUGGGAGAAGCCUACAAGAACGUUUACGGAGAGAUUUAAUUGUCUCGGAUUCUCCGGUUCCAAAAGGAUUUUCAACCAACGGCACAAUUCGAGAGAGAGAAAAAUUUGGGAGAAGCCUACAAGAACGUUUAUGGAGAGAUUUGAUUGUCCCAGAUUCUUCGGUUCCAAAAGGAUUUUCAACCAACGGAGAUUUGAUUGUCCCGGAUUCUUCGGUUCCAAAAGGAUUUUCAACCAACAGCACAAUUCAAGAGAGAGAGAGAGAGGGGUUGAUUUGGGAGAAGCCUACAAUUACAUGUAUGGAGAGAUUUGAUUAUCCCGGAUUCUUCGGUUCCAAAAUGAUUUCCAACCAACAACACAAUUUCCUAUUAGAUAGGGAUUUUCACGCUUUCUAAUUGUACAGUCCAGUUUGUUUUUGUAAAAAAAAAAGUAAUUUCAAAAUAUGUAUUCAAAAAUAUAAAGGUAAUUUUAUAUAAUAAAAAUAAAAAAAAUAAAGUUUAAACGACAACUUUAACAAAAAAAAUUAAAGUUUAAGUUUUAGUAAAGUCCUCGUAAAUGAAUGACGAUAAAUUUUUUAAAAAAUAUAAUAAAAUUAGAAUCAGGCUUCUAUGCAAUUUCAUUUUGGAUUGCAUCAACCCAAA
Molecule: long non-coding RNA, 639 nt
Filed under: Actinidia chinensis (golden kiwifruit)
Lineage: Eukaryota; Viridiplantae; Streptophyta; Magnoliopsida; Ericales; Actinidiaceae
Description: long non-coding RNA (ACHI_LNC002697)
Source: RNAcentral